UACUGCAUUUAUUGGUAAAAAUCUGCAUAUAAGUGCCCCUGUACAGUUCAAACCUGUGUUAUUCAAGGGUCAACUGUAUAU
RNAcentral lists this microRNA precursor (81 nucleotides) under Mustela putorius furo (domestic ferret). RNAcentral's name for it is "miRNA (ENSMPUG00000022925.1)". The record is from RNAcentral. Lineage: Eukaryota; Metazoa; Chordata; Mammalia; Carnivora; Mustelidae.